RNAcentral lists this long non-coding RNA (7307 nucleotides) under Gallus gallus (chicken). The record is from RNAcentral. Lineage: Eukaryota; Metazoa; Chordata; Aves; Galliformes; Phasianidae.
GCAUUUAAAUGAAGUUUGCUCUCAGAGAGAUGAGAGCAAAAGAACAAUAUCCUAUCUACCUUGGGAUAAAAUAGACUUGAAUCAUCACAGCACAAAAAUGCAGAUGGGGUCCGGCCGCAGCAAGUUACAUCUUGAAAUGCUUGUGUUCAGUUUACUGUAAUGAAUUCUGGAUUCUACAGCUUAUGUUAAAUGGACAAUUUUGCAUAAAAGAAAAAGACAUGGCUUGCACAAAAAAAUUCCAUCCUAUUGUAUACCACCAUGUUACCAAUUGAGAAAAAUCUAUGGACCAUUGCCUUCAGGAUUCUUAAAGCACAGUAGAUGGCUGGGAUUCAACUUGUGGUGCUACCACUGACGUUCUGUGUAAGGCCUGUAUAUGCAGACAAGUAAUUUUCCAGAAAUAGAAUUUGUUGCUUUAUCUAUUCAGGGUAAACUGUUUGUGCAUUAUUGAUCUUGUAGGCAGACAUAACUACAUGGGAAAACACAGUAGCGAAAAAAGUUGGAGUUUGUUUGACCUUUUCAGUAUUUGAUACAAUUUUAAUUGUACAAAACAUCUAUAAAUAAGAAAAUAAUUCUGUAAAUUUCCAGAUCAAAGCUGCAAGCAGUUGCAUUGCUUGUUCUGGUGCUUACCUUGAAGAAGAUUAUAACCUCUUCAUAAAUUCAUGUAAUUUGUGGACAUCUAUGGCAAUUAUACUGUGUUGACACAUUAAAUUGAUUAUACAAGACAAACUCUAAUUAAAUGGCAGCCUUCCAAUUUUAACAAAGCUAUAAUUUAUUUUUUGAAUGCUUUCUUAUGUGGUUCAUUUUCUCCUUCCAAUUCUGAUUUUGUUUUUCUUGACAUCUGUUUUUGGUAUUAUAGUGGCCUUUGACUUGCUGAACCUCCCAGGUACUACUGCAGUGUAGAGGGAAAUAAAUAAGGGGCAUCAUGCAUGCAUCAGGAUUCUUCUAGAUGUGGCUUGUAUCACUCAAAAAUAUUUUUCAAAAGAUGUGCAUUUUUUACCUUUCUCUUGAUCCUUGCAUAUCCAGCCAUCCACUUUCAUUUUCUGAACAUCACUUUAAACCAGACACUGUUUUUGUGGACCUUAAUACGUUUUUACAGUGCACAUGAUAUUCAUCUGCGUAGCACAGAAAUGUUAAUUCAAGCACUAGAACUGGCUACCUAGCAAAGUGGCUGAUGCCCCAUGCCUGUCAUUGUCCAAGAGGCAUUCAGAUAAUGCCAUCAAUAACAUGCUGUAACUUCUGGUUAGCUCUGAAAUGGUCAGGAAGCUGGACAGGAAGAUCCUUCUACUGUGCCUUCCAUCUGAACUUUUUUAUUCUACUCUACUGUACUCUACUCUGUUCAACAUUUCCUGCUAAAUAUCAUUUUCUGUGUUAUCAUUUUUGUGAUAAAUGCUAAGGCUAAACACAGGAAGCUUGAAAACUCUCACAGGAAGACUGCAACUGUUUGAAUGACUGAAAGAAGUUCCAUUCUUCAGGGAAACUCUUCUUCAUAUUUCAUUUUCAAUAGGGAACAAUUAUAGAUGCUCUGAAGGAGUGCACUCUGAAUUCAUGGACAUCCCUGAAAUUGAGGAAUGCUUUUAGGCCACUCAUGACUCUAGAAAUGUCAUGAACCUUAACUACAUCACCUUAAGAAUGGAGUAAAUAGCAAGGACCAAGUUCCUUCAUUGAGAGAAAAAAAAAUAACUGAUUUGCCUACAUUUGUGACUUGGAAAAUGUAGCAGUGGUACAAGAUAAGAGGUACAACGCAAAGAGGUUCCUGCUAAUAUCCCUGCAAAUGUGUUUUCAGGUCAGUUUUACAGCCCUGAAAAAGUUAGGUUGUUGUUCUGAAGUUCCCACAAGCUGUCAUACUUCAGCAUCUUCUCAGAGAGAACAAGAUCAACUAAACUUCCUAUGUACGAUAUAUUUUUUUUCUUCCUGGUGUUUAUAUCCUUGCUUAUUGUAGAUUAUAGAGGUUUUGAGAAGAAACUUAGUGCUAUUUUAAUUUGAUAAGGAUGUGUUAGGAUUUUGAUCAAGUCAGUAGAAAGAUAAAAUCAUUCUGUAUGUAAAGAUUUCUCUCUUAUUAGUACUCCAAAUUUCUAUAUAUUAUAUACAUAUAUUCUUAUCAUAUGAAUGUGUAUGUGCAUAUAAACCCUAUAUGGUUAGCAUUCAAUUUUAAGUAAAGUUUUACAAUUACACUGAUGCUAUAACCAUCUUCUUGUGUAUUGCUCCUAUUUUACUGAUAUAAAAUAGUUAAUAUUUGAAGUAAAUUUCUUCCUGUUGCUGACUUGGUUAGCCAGUUCAUUUUGUUAUGUUAAUGUAAUGCGUAAUCUCUGUAUCUUCUGAAAGAAAACUGGUACAGGAAACAAAUCUGCACAUAUAUAAAUUUUAUACUGAAAGCUCAUAGUGUCACACUCAGAGCAGAUGUGAACAAAUCUGUACUACUUACCAUGAAGUGAGAUCUUGUCAAACCAAAUACAGCUGUACUGUUUGCCUCUGUCGAAUGCUCAUCUCAUUAGCUAUUCCUUGUUCACAGAACCUGCCAUUUGAUCCUCAGGGUACACCUCGUCAUCAACUCCUUGUCAGUAGUACAAGGUAGCGUUCCUCUUUAUAAUGCCUUGAUCGCUAGUUUUGCAGAAAAUCAUUGCUUUUAGCUGCUGACCUUGGAUAGUGCAAAGAUCAAGAGCAUCAUUUGCUUGCAUACAUUGUGAACAGACCCCAUGCCCUUGUGCAAUGAUGCCCAGACAGAAGUAGUGUAAAGAUAUGCCAGUACUGAAAAGCUUCUUACAGUACAAAAAAAGCUGAUCAUCUCUAACAGGAGGACUGGGAACAGCAGCUUCCUCUAUGCAGCUAAGAAAGCCUGCAGUAGGUUCAAGGAUGAAAACUUGAUUCAGUCCCAUAAAAACACUGUGACAGAUGAAACAUAGCUCUUCCUGGAUAAGGGAGCUCUCUCAGGAACUGCUCUCAGGAGUUGAAGCAGAGGUAGAACUGGAGCCAAGAACACAGCAGAGAUCUAGAUCCUACUUAGAAUCAUAGAAUCACAAAGGUUGGAAAAGACCCACAGGAUCAUCCAGUCCAACCAUUCACCCUUCACCAAUGGUUCUCGCUAAACCAUGUCCCUCAACACAACAUCCAAAUGUUCCUUGAACACCUCCAGGGUUGGUGACUCCACCACCUCUCCGGGCAGCCCAUUCCAGUGACUGACCACCCUUUCAGAGAACUAGUAUUUCCUAAUGUCCAGCCUGAACCUUCCCUGGCGCAGUUUGAGGCCAUUCCCUCUAGUUCUAUCACUAGUCACACGAGAGAAGAGGCCGACCCCCAGCUCACUACAACCUCCCUUCAGGUAGUUAUAGAGAGUCUUAGGAGACUAUAGUUAUACUAUACAGUUAUAGUUUGUCUUAGGAGACAAACCAGAGAGAGGGAAGUUCAGGUUUGAGCAGAAAAGCUGCUGGGUCAAGGAUGGAGGUGCUGGCCAGGAUCCCAGAGGAGGCUGCUCUGUGCUCUUAAGUGCUUGUAAGUGCUCCCAAGGUCCUGAUGUGUGUUCAAAACAUUAGGAUAGGAUAGGUUUUUGCCAGAAGAUGGUAAUCAGCUUAGGCAACUUCUAAUCAUACCUUGGACACAGGAUAGCAUGGACUUAUCCAGAUAAGUAGGACUAUAGCUAGGGAGGGAAUCAACAGGGUGGGGCCAGACUGUUCUCUCUGUUUCCUGACAACAGGACAAGAGGCAACAGGCUCAAAGUGAAACACAGGAAGUUCCAUCUGCAUGUGAGAAAUAACUUCUUCAUUGUGAAGGUUACAAAGCACUGGAACAAGCUUUCCAGAGAGGCUGUGGAGUCUCCUUCUCCGGAGAUAUUCAAAACCUGCCUGGAUGUGACCCUGGGUAAUGUGAUCUAGGUGAUCCUGCUUGAAGUAAGCAGGUUCGACUAGAUGAUUCUCUUCUAACCUCAACCAAUCUGUGAUUCUGUGACUUCAUCUUCUGCUUUUUCUAAUUACAACUGUCAUAAGCAAAAGCUAGGAAAUUUGGCAGCUCUUUUAUAAGCUUACCCUGAAAUUUAUUUCCUGUAAUUUGUGUUUAGUGUUCAAUAACAAAUCUACCUUUCUUAUUGCUUCUCUUAUGGAGAAAUAAAAGUAUACACUUGUGUUCUUACUUUCUUAUAGACAAGAGCCUGCUAGAGAUUGGAGUGUUGCUCAGAAGCUUAUUUUGUGUUGUUCUUUUAUUCCUUACCCAUAGCAUUUAGAAGAAUGAGAGAAUGCAACUCAUCUAUAGCAAAAAUUGUACGGAUGAUGUUUCUAGUGUUAAAAAUCUUAACAAAGAUGCAUUUCUCAACAAUCAUUUUGUAACAUCAGUUAUCAAAUACUGAAGAUCCUGUCAAAGCACUUGACCUCAAUAUAACUCAUUAUGUAGGCUUCAAUAGUUGUACAUGUGAACACACAUAACACAUUUCAUUCUUUGCCAUGCUUUAUGCUACAAUAGGGUGAAAGAGUGCAAAGCAAAUCUAGAAUAAAAAAAUCAAACACAUUAAUUAUAUCAGAUCAGAUAUACACUGAUAUAAAAUUAAAAUAUCUUUAAAACUUCCAGUGCAACAAAAAAUAUUCAAGAAAAUAAAUGCAGACAAAUUCAUAACAUGGGCAAAAGUGGCUGCUGUUAAAUAGUUAAUCUAGACCAGUCUUCACACUCUUUCACAGCUUAUCCUAAAAGGAACAGAGCAUUUUAUCUUUCAGAAGCAGCAACGAAGACUGUGAUGUUAUCUUUCCAACAGUACAGUUAUGAACUGUGACAUUUAAUUUGACUUCCACAUUCAUUCCUAUGCUUAGCCUCAUGCUGAAAGAGGUCUUCAUUCAAAUUUUUAGAUAUUCUUUUGUCACUCAAUUCAACCUUUACCUUGAGGAUUUCUUUUUCCCUGCAGGAAAGUGUUUUUAUGAAAUUGGGUGAAUUGAAUGUCAUGAUCACUUCUGAAAGCAAAGAGCAUUUUAAGAUAGCUUUAUCUCUGCAAGAAAGAAUAUACGUUAACAGAAGGUAUCUUACCAAUAUGAAUACAAAUAUUUUAAUAUUGAGUAAUAAUACUAUAUGACAUUGUUUGAGAACACAAAGAUGAACAUUUGUAGCAUAUUCUAUCCUCAUCUAAACUCAGAUUUUCUAUUGAUCUCUCUAAUGAGCCUGGAUUCUCUCCUCUUCUUCACUUAGGAAAUAAUUGAUCGAUAAAUAAAAAUGUGAGUAAAAAAUGCUUUGCUUUUAUUCAGCAUAGUGAGAGAGUACAAGUACAGGGUAUCAGGUAGGUGAACAGAACAGAAAUAGCUGACAGAACAAGACGAUCAAGUGACUGUGAAUUCUGAUUCGCAGUUGGUGAUUUGACUGAGAGAGUUCCAAAAGAGGAACACGGCAUCAUACCAGAACAGUGCAUCUGUAGAGCUAGUAUUUGAACCUGAGUGCAGAGGAGAAGCCUCUCGGCAGCAAGAGAACAGUUCAGAAGAGGCUGAAGAGUUUAGCCAUGCUAUCUAUAACUAGGAAAUAGUAAGGGAGAAGCAUAAGCAUAUUUACUGAGAAAAAAUGUAGGAGUCAAGAUGAAGGGUCAUGCCUCCUCAAUUCUUUUCCCUUAAAAUAGAUCCAGCUGUUACUGCUUGUCUUCACUUAAACAACCUUGGCAAGGAACCAGUUAUUUUCUCCAUUUUCCUUCCUUCUUUCUCAGUCAUGUUUCAGAUGAUUGCUUUCCGUAUUUUUUGACUUAUAAGAGUUUGUGAAGAAAUAACUUAAAAUCUGGCAUACUUCUCUUCCUUCCUUAUUCCAUUUUAAAGAGGAAAUAAAAGAGUCAAAGCAGAAGCAGUCAGCUAGAAAGAGAAUGUGGAGAACCUUAAGAGUGGUUGAGCAUUUGAAGUGAAGGGAAGAAGAAAAUAAACAAUGUGUUUUCAGAAGACAGAAGAGCCAGGUAUCUACACAGCUAUGACACGAAUAAUUUUCAUGAAAUCAUUCUAAAAUACAUUGCAAAACACCUUCCUCGUUCCUAGGAGCAAUUUUCUGAGCAUUCCAAUUAAUACUUUUCCUCAGACUUUCUGUUCUAUCAAGUAAAGCAAUUGUUGAGUUACUGUGGAACAGUGCACAGCUGAACAGGGCAGUGUAUAAUGCCUGGAUUAAAGUCUUCCCUUUGUUCGGAGUAAUUAAAAGGUGUCAGGCUAAUGAGGAAAAAAGAUUAUGUGUGCUUAAUGAAAGGACACUACUGGAACAAUUCCAUAAGAUAGAGAAUCUGUAAGAUCAGUCUGAAAAUUAAGAUUAAUAGUUUUAAUUUUCUUAAUUAGUUUUCAUUUUCUGAGCUGUUCUCUUGGUUUAAUAAGCACAGCAGUACAUUUGCAGCCCCUAUUUAUCCCACUUGUGGAUCUUCUAGGAUGUUUCCAUGACAACAUGACUCUAGUCCAUCAAAACAAUGAGCAGGAACCUGGUGAGUCCCUCACUCAGCGUUUCAUGGCUAGUAGUCUACUGGUGAGAACCAUGGGGCCCGUAGCUGUUCUAGUUGCUCUUUGUGGCCUUUUGUUCACUUUGAUGCUUCUAGCUUCUUCUGCUGGAUUCAGGAGAAUUACUGAACAGGGACUAUUGUUAGAAAAAGAUAUUUUUAAUGUAGGAUUUUUUGAAUUUCAGUGAUUCCUGUAACACGGAAAGUAUUGUUUCAGUUAAGGAGUUUUGCUGUGGGAGCAAGAAAGGAAACAAAUUCCAAGGGCAGCAGUCUGUGAUAGCCAUUCAUUUGCUGCAGAGAAUGCUAAUCCACACCAGCCCUUAAACUUAUACAUUUUUCCCAGUUUGUGUCACUGGCUGGCAGACUGAUUCUCCUGCUCUUUCCUCCCUCACACCUGCUCCAAGAAUCCUUAUGGGGAGAGGAACAAGAACCCAGUGGCAGGGGCCUGUCCCACCCCACUUCUGUGCUGGGGCACAGGAGAGCGCAGGCACUACAGGACACUAGGUAUCCAGCACAGCUCCUAGCUGAGACUCAGAUAUCAUCUCCGUGUCGAUAGCAGGAUUUUUUUUUGUAGUGUGUAGAACAUGAGCCAUCUAUAUUAUAGAGCAUCUAAAAAAAUCACAAGAAACUACAACACUCCUUUUUAUAUAAAAGGAUAAAUAGAGCAUUUUAUUAACACUUUUUGCAGCAACAAAAGUGACACAGUCCACAUCUUUUUCAUUAAACACAGCAAAAGCUAUGGUCACAUUUUACAUCACUUUGAGGCACAAAGCAAAAUAUUUUUUCUUAAAGUUAAGUUAUGAUUUGCAUGAAAAGAAAAAGAAAGAAAAAGAGAAGGGAAGAAGGAAAGAAGGAAAAGAAAGGAAGUCAGUAAGAAAUAAAGAAAGAAGGG